Molecule: long non-coding RNA, 708 nt
Organism: Nasonia vitripennis (jewel wasp)
Lineage: Eukaryota; Metazoa; Arthropoda; Insecta; Hymenoptera; Pteromalidae
Exons: 4
Source: RefSeq, a predicted model, not a curated record
GUAUCAGAAGCAUAAGAAAUGUUCGGAAUACGGCGUACGUUGAGUAUAUAAAAAAUUUUCUCUUGUUUAUAAGUGCGUCUGCGCAUGCGCGAAAAAUGGAUAAAUAGCGUGAAAUAUUGCUUCCUGUGCUCAUUCUGCUGUGACCUCUAGAGGCGGCCACAUGGUAUCAGAAGUAAACUAGAGAUUCAGAAUACUGUGCAAGUUGAGUUUAUAAAAGAAUUUUCUCUUGUUUAUAAGUGCGUCUGCGCAUGCGCGAAAAAUGGAUAAAUAGCGUGAAAUAUUGCUUCCUGUGCUCAUUCUGCUGUGACCUCUAGAGGCGGCCACAUGGUAUCAGAAGUAAACUAGAGAUUCAGAAUACUGUGCAAGUUGAGUUUAUAAAAGAAUUUUCUCUGGUUUAUAAGUGUCGUCCCCUCAUGCGCAAAAAAUGGAUAAAUAGCGUCAAAUAUUGCCUCCUGUUCUCCUUCUGCUGUGACCUCUAGAGGCGGCCACAUCGUAUCAGAAGCAUAAUAAAUGUUCAGAAUACUGUGCAAGUUGAGUUUAUAAAAAAAUUUUCUCUGGUUUCUAAGUGUCGUCUGCGCAUGCAAGAAGAAAAUGUAUGAAGAGUAUGUAAUAUUGGUUCCUGCGCUCAUUCUGAAUUGACCUCUGGAAGCGGACAAAUCUGUAAACCCAAUUAUUUUAAAUAUUAAAUUUAUCUGGAAUAUCCUUUUA